GUUGGGCAAGUUUUCCCAGAUAAGAAGUCUGCUUACCAGGCAAUGGGUAGCUAUGCAAUCGGCAUCCACCGCCAGCAUAGAGUGAAGCAGUCUGAUAAAAAAGAGUUGAAGGUCAUAUGCAUCCACACCGCGAAAGGUUGCCGCGGAAGAGUUCUCGCUAGUCUGAAGCCUGGGGUAUGUCAGUCAUGGCAUAUCACAAAAAUAGUGGAGCAUACCUGUGAGCAAACUGGGACUCUUUCAGAUCACUGCAAUGUGACAGCAAAAUUUGUGGCACAGACGAUGGAAACAAUUGUGCAGGGAAGUCUCAACAUUAGUGUUAGGGCUCUGCAAAAAGAUGCAGAGGAUCUAAUUGGAUUCCCUGUUAGCUACAGCAAGGCUAGGCAUGCGAAGGAAAAUAUAUUUAAGAACUUGUAUGGUACCUAUGAGGAGGCAUAUUCUUAUGCCCCUAGAAUGCUUCAUCAAAUAGCAAGUGCUAAUAGGGGGACUCAAGUUUGGCGGAGAGAACGUCCAAACCCAAUGAACCCGCGUGAGCUAAUCCUGGACCGCUUAUUCUGGGCAUUCGCCCAGACUAUACAAGCCUUCAGGCACUGUCGCCCGGUAUUAUCUGUUGAUGGUACCUUUCUCACUGGAAAGUACAAGGGCACACUAUUGGUGGCGAUUGCAGCGGAUGCAAAUAAUCAGCUUCUUCCUAUUGCAUAUGCAUUGGUCGAGAGCGAGAACAAAGAUAGCUGGUUGUGGUUCCUGAGCUGCGUGAAGAUGGGUGUCGUGAAAGAGCGUAAAGGUGUUUGCAUCAUUUCUGAUCGCAACACUGGAUUAUUAAGCGCUCUUGAAAUAAUUAAGGCGUCGGAAGAAGAGUGGGGCUGGCCCGAUCUA
This 873-nucleotide ribosomal RNA is filed under the name Triticum aestivum (bread wheat). RNAcentral's name for it is "partial small subunit ribosomal RNA". The record is from RNAcentral. Lineage: Eukaryota; Viridiplantae; Streptophyta; Magnoliopsida; Poales; Poaceae.